Pelobates cultripes (western spadefoot toad) is the source of this 290-nucleotide non-coding RNA. Lineage: Eukaryota; Metazoa; Chordata; Amphibia; Anura; Pelobatidae. The record is from the annotation of a GenBank genome assembly.
CCUUAAUGCUGGCCAGUGCCAAGUCGGCCCACAGGAGCCGAGAUCACAGGGAAGGCCCCAGAGGGAGACAGGCCGCGGGGGGGGGGGCGGCCCACACCGGGAGCCAUACCUGGGGUAAGAAUAGCACCUGGGUCAUGGAGAUGCCGGCCACCAUCCACGCUGCAGCAGCUCUGAGGGAAGCCAGAAAGUCUCAAUCUCCCUCCCUCAAGCUGGUAAACCUACAGGCCCAGACAAACAGGAGCAGGAGAAAAGGAAGCUGUUUGCUGGCCCGAAUACCAAGUGGCACUGAG